UGGGGAAUUUUCCGUAAUGGGCGAAAGCCUGACGGAGCAAUACCGCGUGAGGGAGGAAGGCUCUUGGGUCGUAAACCUCUUUUCUCAGGGAAGAACACAAUGACGGUACCUGAGGAAUAAGCAUCGGCUAACUCCGUGCCAGCAGCCGCGGUAAUACGGAGGAUGCAAGCGUUAUCCGGAAUGAUUGGGCGUAAAGCGUCCGCAGGUGGCUAUGUAAGUCUGCUGUUAAAGAGUCUAGCUCAACUAGAUAAGAACAGUGGAAACUACACGGCUAGAGUGCGUUCGGGGCAGAGGGAAUUCCUGGUGUAGCGGUGAAAUGCGUAGAGAUCAGGAAGAACACCGGUGGCGAAGGCGCUCUGCUAGGCCGCAACUGACACUGAGGGACGAAAGCUAGGGGAGCGAAUGGGAUUAGAUACCCCAGUAGUCCUAGCCGUAAACGAUGGAUACUAGGCGUGGCUUGUAUCGACCCGAGCCGUGCCGUAGCUAACGCGUUAAGU
Molecule: ribosomal RNA, 497 nt
Filed under: uncultured cyanobacterium
Lineage: Bacteria; Bacillati; Cyanobacteriota
Description: bacterial SSU rRNA
Rfam family: Bacterial small subunit ribosomal RNA
Source: RNAcentral